AAUCUACAGUCCAUAAUGGAGCCACUGUACUGGCUUUUGGAAGGAGGAGAUUCUGAAGAUAGGGAGAUUCAGCAAUCAGUCUUUGAAAUUUCCUGUGGUCUGUUCAAUCUAGAUGCAAAGGACAUGGAAAAAUCAAGUGCUCAAGUGGUUUAAAUAUGUUUUGGAUAUUCUUAUUUAUAGAUUACAGGAUUUUUCCAAUUAAAAUCCGCAGUUGUCAUGCAGAAGGAGGUUAUGCCCUUCUUGAUCACCAGUUUAUUUGAAAUGCUUAGCAUUAUAGUGUGUUACUGAAUGCUGUUUUAAUCAAAGUAUAGAAAAAUAAAAACAAUUCUGUAUG
RNAcentral lists this long non-coding RNA (334 nucleotides) under Bos taurus (domestic cattle). RNAcentral's name for it is "long non-coding RNA NONBTAT009141". Lineage: Eukaryota; Metazoa; Chordata; Mammalia; Artiodactyla; Bovidae. The record is from RNAcentral.